RNAcentral lists this ribosomal RNA (457 nucleotides) under uncultured bacterium. Its description in RNAcentral is "bacterial SSU rRNA". It matches the Rfam family "Bacterial small subunit ribosomal RNA", at positions 28 to 507 of the family's 1533-position model. The record is from RNAcentral.
GAUGAACGUUGGCGGCGUGCCUAAUACAUGCAAGUCGAACGAAGACUGUAGUAAUACUGUCUUAGUGGCGAACGGGUGAGUAACGCGUGGGUGACCUGCCCCGAAGUGUGGGAUAACAGUCCGAAAGGAUUGCUAAUACUGCAUAAUAUCCAAGAGAUUAGAUGCUUUUGGAUUAAAGGAGUAAUUCGCUUCGGGAGGGGCCCGCGUCCCAUCAGCUAGUUGGUAAGGUAAUGGCUUACCAAGGCAAUGACGGGUAGGGACCUGAGAGGGUGCCCCCCAAAUGGAACUGAAACACGGUCCAUACACCUACGGGUGGCAGCAGUAGGGAAUAUUAGAAAUGGACGAAAGUCUGAUCUAGCAACACCGCGUGUGCGAAGAAGGCCUUCGGGUCGUAAAGCACUUUUUGGAAGGAAUAGGAAGGACGGUACUCUCAGAAUAAGUCUCGGCUAACUACGUG